UACGGAGGCAGCAGUGGGGAAUAUUGGACAAUGGGCGAAAGCCUGAUCCAGCCAUGCCGCGUGUGUGAAGAAGGCCUUCGGGUUGUAAAGCACUUUCAGUGGGGAAGAAAGCCUUGGGGCUAAUACCCUCGAGGAAGGACAUCACCCACAGAAGAAGCACCGGCUAACUCCGUGCCAGCAGCCGCGGUAAUACGGAGGGUGCGAGCGUUAAUCGGAAUUACUGGGCGUAAAGCGCGCGUAGGCGGUCUGAUAAGCCGGUUGUGAAAGCCCCGGGCUCAACCUGGGAACGGCAUCCGGAACUGUCAGGCUAGAGUGCAGGAGAGGAAGGUAGAAUUCCCGGUGUAGCGGUGAAAUGCGUAGAGAUCGGGAGGAAUACCAGUGGCGAAGGCGGCCUUCUGGACUGACACUGACGCUGAGGUGCGAAAGCGUGGGUAGCAAACAGGAUUAGAUACCCGGGUAGUC
Molecule: ribosomal RNA, 462 nt
Filed under: Vreelandella stevensii
Lineage: Bacteria; Pseudomonadati; Pseudomonadota; Gammaproteobacteria; Oceanospirillales; Halomonadaceae
Description: partial 16S ribosomal RNA
Rfam family: Bacterial small subunit ribosomal RNA
Source: RNAcentral